Molecule: transfer RNA, 65 nt
Filed under: Stenchaetothrips biformis
Lineage: Eukaryota; Metazoa; Arthropoda; Insecta; Thysanoptera; Thripidae
Description: tRNA-Ser
Source: RNAcentral
AAUUAAUUAGCUUAUAUAAAGCAUAUAUUUUGAAAAUAUAAAAAAGACUAACCAUUUAUUAAUUU